This is a long non-coding RNA of Arachis stenosperma, 2048 nucleotides long. RefSeq lists it as uncharacterized. NCBI's taxonomy places the organism in Eukaryota, Viridiplantae, Streptophyta, Magnoliopsida, Fabales, Fabaceae. The record is from RefSeq and is a predicted model, not a curated record. The transcript has 4 exons.
AUUAAAUCCUAAUUCCCCUUGUAUCUAACCCUAGCCGCCAUUUGUCCUUCCCCUAUUACACCCACGGCAGAGGAAAACAAAAGAAAAUAAGGAAAGAAAGAAAGAAAGAAAGAAAGAAAGAAAAGAAGAGAAGAGGGAGGCGGCGCGAUGGGUGUCACUGCCACCGCCGCCGCCGCUGCUAAUCGAGAGAAGGGGAGAUCCAAGAAAGAGAGAGAGAGCGUUGGUGGGAGAGGAAGACCGCUGCUACAGCUGCCGCCGUUCGUCCUCCAGCUCGUCGCCACCAUCGCGGAUUGCCACUGACCUCGCGCCCGUCGCCGUCGACCACGAGCCAGAGGAGAAGAAGAACGAUGCUAUUACGCCGUUCCUCGCUGCAGAUGAAGCUCGCCGCCGCAGCUGUUACUAUUCGCGCCGUCGUCGUCGCCGAAGGGAGCCAUCGUCGCUGUCAUCGGAACAGAGGGCGAGAGAGAGACAGAGAGCUCGCGGUGGGGGAAAGGAUAGGCGCCGCCGUGCUGCGUGAAGCUACCGCCGCCGUUCCUGCCGCCGUCCAGCCUCAGUUAGCACCGCCGAAGCUCUUGCCAUCACCGUCGUUGAAGAAUCUCACCGGAGUUGCUGGAGGCUACCGCCGGAGACCGUAUCUGAAGCCUCUGUCUUAUUGGAUUUUGGUUGUUGCAAGUUACUCGGCUAUAGCUGUUGUCGGAACCAGGCCAGAUUUACCGUGUUACUGCCAUCAGGACAGAUGCAUAGGUCCCUGAUUAUGUUCUUUGCUGCUCCAUCGUUGUGUUUUCUAUAGCUGCAGUCGAGUUUCGGUAAUCGCAUGGUUGGAGUAAAAGCCGUUUUUGUUUGCUGUGAAAGUAAUCGGAACUGCGGAUGCAGCUGCCGCUGAAUGCGAGCCGAAAGAAAAAGAGUUUAUGUCUGGUAGUUAGAUCGCAAUCGAGACGCAGUGCCUCACCACAACAAGGACCACCUCUCAUCCCUCAAAUCCUUCUUCGUCCCCUCCUCCUCCGCCCAAAACCGUCGAUGAUGUUUGAAAAGACAUGAACCUAACCCACUGUGACAGAGACUCACCUCAAUCUAAUCACCGCCUGUUCGAGAAAAUGACCAUUGAGGCUUUCCUCUAAAAAAACGUUGCCGUCACGAAUGACGACAUCACCGUUGUUGCUCCUUUUUAUAAUCUUCAUCCUGUUCCUCAUCAGUUCCCGCAGGUGUCCGCCGUGGAAGGCUCAUCCUCCUCCGUGACUGAGCCUUUUGCCAAUGGGAUGCUGCGGUGGCAAGUGGAGUCCCAGCAACCUCUUCAGCAUCAGGAGGAGGCGAUGGUGGUGGAGGAGUUGUAGCUGCGGUGGCAAUGGGGAAGAGAAGGGUGGUGGAGGAAGCAGUGGACAAGGCCAAACUUCAAUGAGUCUGCUCCUAGGUUCAGGGAAUGCAAACAGCUACUUACCCCCUUUUUUAAUUUUUUUUUUAAUGAAGUUUCAUUUUUUAUAUAAUUCUAUUUGAUGUUUGGAAAAUAGAGAUUCUUAUUUUGGUUUUUUCUAAGGCCAUCCUUCUUGUAUCUUGUUUGCCGGAACUUUAUGUCAGGAAGCCAGAAUGCUUAAUUGCCAUCGUAGAGUUAUGUGUGAAGCUGCCAAAAAGUCAUUGAAAGAGAAGAAACUGCACAUUGGUCCAUGGAAGAAGAGUAGAUUCAUGCAACUAAAGUGGUCAGGCUUCAAUCAAACAUUGACUUUAGCAAAUUCCAUGGGUGAUAUUCCAGCUAAUGAACCUUACCUGAGAAUUUCUGGUGCUCCUACUGUGCUAGUCACAUGAAAGUAAUUGAGUUAGGUGAAGGUUGAAUCCCAAUGGUGGCUUUUGCAGAAGGAUUUUGAAUUGAGACCUUGUAGUAGAAACUCAUAAUUUAAUGUUCCAAGUUAUGUAAUAGAAACUCUGUUUUGUGUUGUAAAUGGUUUGGUCUAAUUUGAUCCAGGUCAAUUUACGUGUAUGAGACAUAAGCUUUGCACUAUUAUCAUGAGUGCCAACAGAUACCAGGAAAAAAAAUUAAAGCAAAGAAGCUUUUGCAA